RNAcentral lists this ribosomal RNA (484 nucleotides) under uncultured bacterium. RNAcentral describes it as "bacterial SSU rRNA". It matches the Rfam family "Bacterial small subunit ribosomal RNA", at positions 28 to 507 of the family's 1533-position model. The record is from RNAcentral.
GAUGAACGCUAGCGGCAGGCCUAAUACAUGCAAGUCGAGGGGUAACAGGAAGUGCUUGCACUUCGCUGACGACCGGCGCACGGGUGAGUAUCGCGUAUACAAUCUGCCUCAUACUAGGGAAUAGCCCGAAGAAAUUUGGAUUAAUGCCCUAUAGUAUCUUUUUAAGGCAUCUUAUUAAGAUUAAAGGUUACGGUAUGAGAUGAGUAUGCGUUCUAUUAGCUAGUAGGUGUGGUAACGGCACACCUAGGCUACGAUAGAUAGGGGCCCUGAGAGGGGGAUCCCCCACACUGGUACUGAGACACGGACCAGACUCCUACGGGAGGCAGCAGUAAGGAAUAUUGGUCAAUGGACGAAAGUCUGAACCAGCCAUGCCGCGUGCAGGAUGACUGCCCUAUGGGUUGUAAACUUCUUUUAUAUAGGAAGAAACCCCUCUACGUGUAGAGGGUUGACGGUACUAUACGAAUAAGCACCGGCUAACUCCGUG